Molecule: ribosomal RNA, 236 nt
Filed under: uncultured organism
Description: partial 16S ribosomal RNA
Rfam family: Bacterial small subunit ribosomal RNA
Source: RNAcentral
CGAUUCGCCCGCCGCGCCCCGCGCCCGUCCCGCCGCCCCCGCCCGCUCCUACGGGAGGCAGCAGUGGGGGAUAUUGGACAAUGGGGGGAACCCUGAUCCAGCGACGCCGCGUGAGUGAAGAAGUAUUUCGGUAUGUAAAGCUCUGUCAGCAGGGAAGAAAGAAAUGACGGUACCUGACCAAGAAGCCCCGGCUAACUACGUGCCAGCAGCCGCGGUAAUACAAUCCAUAUGACUAG